Molecule: ribosomal RNA, 498 nt
Filed under: uncultured bacterium
Lineage: Bacteria
Description: partial 16S ribosomal RNA
Rfam family: Bacterial small subunit ribosomal RNA
Source: RNAcentral
AUUGAACGCUGGCGGCAUGCCUUACACAUGCAAGUCGAACGGUAACAGGUCUUCGGAUGCUGACGAGUGGCGAACGGGUGAGUAAUACAUCGGAACGUGCCUAGUAGUGGGGGAUAACUACUCGAAAGAGUGGCUAAUACCGCAUGAGAUCUGCGGAUGAAAGCAGGGGAUCGCAGGACCUUGUGCUACUAGAGCGGCCGAUGGCAGAUUAGGUAGUUGGUGGGAUAAAAGCGUACCAAGCCGACGAUCUGUAGCUGGCCUGAGAGGACGAUCAGCCACACUGGGACUGAGACACGGCCCAGACUCCUACGGGAGGCAGCAGUGGGGAAUUUUAGACAAUGGGCGCAAGCCUGAUCCAGCAAUGCCGCGUGCAGGAUGAAGGCCUUCGGGUUGUAAACUGCUUUUGUACGGAACGAAAAGCCCUGGGUUAAUACCCUGGGGUCAUGACGGUACCGUAAGAAUAAGCACCGGCUAACUACGUGCCAGCCGCCGCGGUAA